This 36414-nucleotide long non-coding RNA is filed under the name Hordeum vulgare. Its description in RNAcentral is "long non-coding RNA (HVUL_LNC007174)". The record is from RNAcentral. Lineage: Eukaryota; Viridiplantae; Streptophyta; Magnoliopsida; Poales; Poaceae.
GCUGAUGCCUCCCUCCCUCCCUCCCUCUCUCUCCCUCUCUCUCUCCCUGCCCCUCUCUCUCUCCCCCCCCCCUCAUUCUUUAUUAUGACUAGAUGACCCGUUGCGCCGAUGGCGCAAGAAGACAAUUAGAACCGGGUAUUAUGUGGGUAUUGUAGUGCACAAGUUAGCACCUUUAAUCAAUUGAAACAGAAAGAAAGAAAGUUUGUUUGAGGUGGUAGAUCCAUAAAAUCCAUUUAGCAAAUAUUAUGUCCAAACAGUUAACUGCAGAAAACGGAACCUUAUCAUCCGAAGGGGGCAUUCAUAUUUUAGUACCAAUAUAGGUUCAUAACUUGUACAUAUCAGACUAUAGAGGGGGCAACCCAACUCGUUAUAUUUAAAUUAUCAACUCAAAGUAAUUCAUAAUAAAAUUUCAUGAAUCAUCAUUGGCUCAAAAAAUUUCCAACAUGCCUUCCACUAACUCGUGCCUUCUUUAAGCUGAACCAGCAUAAAAAGUAGAGCCGAGGAAGAUUAGAGACAUGACUAUUGUUAGGUGACCAAAAUGAAAGACCUAGUAAAACACAUGGUAUGAGAAAUCUCAUCCCAGCAAACACAACAUAACUAUAUAGACACUAAGAAAAAAAAGAGGUAAAACAACACCAAGAGUAGAUUGAAAGAAUUUGUAGCAUCUACUAGGACCGCAAUGAAUUAAAUUAAAAUAUAGCACUGUAACUAAUAAGUACCAUCAAGUUUCCAAAAGGAUGUCUUUUACCCAAAGAUUAUCGUCAAAUUAAAUUAAAAUUACAGCACCUUAUUCAAUUCUAAUUCAAGCACCAUGAACAGUAUCAUCCAUGGAGUUCAUUUCUAAACUCAACACUUAUUCAUCAAGAACUUCUAACUUCAGGACGUGCAUUUAGUUUUUUUUUUCCAGAGGUGUAUAAGCAUAUUAUCUUGUUAACUCAGCAAGUAGAUAUAUAAGCUAACAGUUAGUGUUCUCAAAAAAUUUAAAUAGUUUUCUUACUGGACUAUGUAAGCCUAUUCAACUAACCAUACGUCUCUAUAAAACAAUUACUCAAAAUAUAUGAUGGUUUCCUAGCUGACACGAUCAACGAGUUGUUGAUACGUGCAUAUGCAAAAACUAAGCAUUCACUCUUCUGCUGUGACAGAGAACCAUCGUACUCCAUGGAAUUUGCACGCAAAAAUCAUGUUAGGUUUCAAUGAAAGCACAUGGAAAAACCUCAGAGAAAGAGAGAGAGAGAGAGANNNNNNNNNNNNNNNNNNNNNNNNNNNNNNNNNNNNNNNNNNNNNNNNNNNNNNNNNNNNNNNNNNNNNNNNNNNNNNNNNNNNNNNNNNNNNNNNNNNNUGCGUCGCCUCCACCCCCUACGGCGCCUCGGGCACUAUGGUUGUGCUUACAAAACUACUGCACCCAAGGGGUAGAACUGCCUUCACAGUGCUCCCCCGUCUGCCUUCUUCCCACGCUUCUCUGCCAUCCUUGCGUGAACUCACCCUUAUCCCCUUCCAUUGCGGCCUGUGAGGAUGCCACGAGCGCUAAGGCACAGGUGGGGCCCUCGGCACCGCCAUCAUCUCCUGGGGGCAAGGAGGACGGGCCCCCAAGGCCAACCCUAGCGCGCGGGCGCUAGGUCACUAGCGAUGAGUAAGUGAGUCAUCAUUAUCACUUUCCCAUGCAUAUCCUGCCCGAUCUAAUGAAUCCAACCACCGAGCUUUUCAGGGUGCCCGCACCCAAGAGGCAUAGUGAUGCCCCGCCGGGGGCACUCUCUUGCGCGCCACCGGUCGGUGAGGCCUCCUUCUCCGCACUUGGCCUAGUAGGGCCCGGGGGGUCCGCGGUCAAGUCUGGGGCAACAACACAGCCCUGGGAGCGCGCGGCCGAGGAUGCCGCGUUUGCCCUUCGGAGCCCUGGGCACGGGGCGGUCCUGACCCUCACGGAGACCACCGUCAUCAAGCGGGAGGCGAUCAUGGCCCUCAACGAGUGGGAGGCUGAUACGUCAUAAAUGUAUCUAUAAUUUCUGCUUGUUCCAUUAUUUUUUGGUGACAUUGUUAUAUGUUUUGCUACACUUUUAUAUCAUUUUACACAUACUUGGACUAACCUACUAAUUCAGUGCACCCAGUGCCAGUUUCUGUCUGCUGAUUUCUAUUUUGUAGGGGCUUUUACCCAAUUUUCUGAAGCCCAAAAAAUCCCGAGAAAAAUAUAUAAAAAUCAGCGUACCAGAAGCUUCCAGAUCACCGAAGAUGGGCCAGAGGGAGGCCGGGGGCCGCCCAGGCAACCUGUGGGCGCGGCCUACCCCCUGGCCAUGCCAAGAGGCCGCCUGGGUAGGUCCCACGCCCUUCGGUGGCCAACUUUCGCCUAUAUUUACCACUUGACGAGGAAAACCCUACAAGGGAUCCAGAAUCAUGAAUUUCUCCAUUGUUUCGCCGCCGCAGUGCUUCCGAGAUCGGGAGCGUAAGGAGACCUCUUCCCGGCACCCUGCCGGAGGGAGGAUUGACCUCCGGGAGCUACUCCACCACCAUGGAUGCUUCCCGGACCUGCAGUGAGUAGUCCUCCUUGGACCAUGGGUCCAUGACCAGUAGCUAUGUGACGUCUUCUCUCCAAUCUUGUGCUUCAAUGGUUAGUCCUUGUGAGAUGCCCUACAUGAUCAAGGCAUCUAUGUAGUUAUCUUGCUAUUGCUAUGCUCGGUUUGUUGGGAUCCGAUGGAUUAUGAGAUUAUGUUCAGAUUGUUAUGAGUUAUAUAUUUGAUUAUCCUUUUAUGUUAUGUUCCUUAGUGAUUCAUGCAUGUUCUCCGUUGCUAUUUAUUGCUUUGGUCGAGUAGUAGAUUGUAACUCCAAGAGGGAGCGUUAUGCAUGAUUGUGGGUUCAUGCCCCUCGAUGUCUAGCUUGAGUGACAGAAACAUGAGACUAGGGGAUGUGUUGUUGCCACCAGGGAGAAAACAACGAUGCUUGUGACCAUGGUUGCAAGGAUUGUUUACCUUACGCAUAGUUCGUUAAUGCAGUUGUCCAUUGCUUUGAGUUUACNNNNNNNNNNNNNNNNNNNNNNNNNNNNNNNNNNNNNNNNNNNNNNNNNNNNNNNNNNNNNNNNNNNNNNNNNNNNNNNNNNNNNNNNNNNNNNNNNNNNUUUGUGUGUGUCAAACGUCACAACGUAACUGGGUGACUAUAAAGAUGCUCUACAGGUAUCUCCGAAGGUGUUAGUUGAGUUAGUAUGGAUCAAGACUGGGAUUUGUCACUCCGUGUGAACGGAGAGGUAUCUCGGGGCCCACUCGGUAAUACAACAUCACACACAAGCCUUGCAAGCAAUGUAACUUAGUGUAAGUUGCGGGAUCUUGUAUUACGGAACGAGUAAAGAGACUUGCCGGUAAACGAGAUUGAAAUAGAUAUACGGAUACUAACGAUCGAAUCUCGGGCAAGUAACAUACCGAAGGACAAAGGGAAUGACAUACGGGAUUAUAUGAAUCCUUGGCACUGAGGUUCAAACGAUAAGAUCUUCAUAGAAUAUGUAGGAUCCAAUAUGGGCAUCCAGGUCCCGCUAUUGGAUAUUGACCGAGGAGUCUCUCGGGUCAUGUCUACAUAGUUCUCGAACCCGCAGGGUCUGCACACUUAAGGUUCGACGUUGUUUUAUGCGUAUUAGAGUUAUAUGGUUGGUUACCGAAUGUUGUUCGGAGUCCCGGAUGAGAUCACGGACGUCACGAGGGUUUCCGAAAUGGUCCGGAAACGAAGAUUGAUAUAUAGGAUGACCUCAUUUGAUUACCGGAAGGUUUUCGGAGUUACCGGGAAUGUACCGGGAAUGACGAAUGGGUUCCGGGAGUUCACCGGGGGGGGGCAACCCACCCCGGGGAAGCCCAUAGGCCUUGAGGGUGGCACACCAGCCCUUAGUGGGCUGGUGGAACAGCCCAAAAGGGCUCUAUGUGCCAAGGAGAGAAAAUCAAGAGAGAAAAAAAAAGGAGGAGGUGGGAAGGAAGGGGGACUCCCUCCCAGCAAACCAAGUCCAACUCGGUUUGGGGGGGAGUCCUCCCCCCUUGGACUCGGCCGACCCCCUUGGCAAGGUCCCCUCCCCCCCACCUAUAUAUACGGAGGUUUUAGGGCUGAUUUGAGACGACUUUCCCACGGCAGCCCGACCACAUACCUCCACGGUUUUUCCUCUAGAUCGCGUUUCUGCGGAGCUCGGGCAGAGCCCUGCUGAGACAAGGUCAUCACCAACCUCCGGAGCGCCGUCACGCUGCCGGAGAACUCUUCUACCUCUCCGUCUCUCUUGCUGGAUCAAGAAGGCCGAGAUCAUCGUCGAGCUGUACGUGUGCUGAACGCGGAGGUGACGUCCGUUCGGUACUAGAUCGUGGGACUGAUCGCGGGAUUGUUCGCGGGGCGGAUCGAGGGACGUGAGGACGUUCCACUACAUAAACCGUGUUCACUAACGCUUCUGCUGUACGAUCUACAAGGGUACGUAGAUCACUCAUCCCCUCUCGUAGAUGGACAUCACCAUGAUAGAUCUUCGUGCGCGUAGGAAAUUUUUUGUUUCCCUUGCGACGUUCCCCAACAGAGCCCACCGCGAUGGUCUCGAUAUGGACCAUCCGAGUGGAAGCAGGACCAUCAUCUCUGGUCCCGAGUGUUUCAGUCGAGCCAUCCGUUCGGCUGACAUCCCUCCCAACUUCCGAUUGGCGACGGGGAUCAACAAGUUUACAGGAGAAUCCAAGCCAGAAACGUGGCUGGACGACUACCGAGUGGCAGUCCAGAUCGGAGGAGGGGACAACCACGUCGCCAUGAAGCACCUCCCUCUGAUGCUCGACGGCUCGGCACGAGCGUGGCUGAACCAGUUGGCUCCCUCAAGCAUCUAUAGCUGGGCAGAUCUGGCCCGAGUCUUCGUCAGGACCUUCGAAGGGACGUGCAAACGCCCUGCUGGCCUCGUGGAGCUCCAGCACUGUGUCCAGAAGCAGAAUGAGCCCCUGCAUGAUUUCAUUCAGCGCUGGACGACCCUCUACGACACGGUGGAGAACGUCACAGAGCAUCAAGCAGUCUGCACCUUCAAGGCAGGCGUGCGGUACAAAGAUUUGUACCUGAAGUUCGGUCAAACAAGCGACAUCUCCAUGAGCAAGAUGAUGGAGAUAGCGGCACGCUAUGCAAAUGGCGAAGAGGAGGACCGCAUCCGUAGCGGCAAGCACAAAGCAGUCGCCGAUGGAGAUGGGAACAACACUCGGAAGCAGAAGCAAAAAAGCUCCGUCCACUCCGCGGGCAGAGGCCGCAGCUGUUACCAAUGCCAAGUUCAAGGGCAAGGGGAAGGCUCAGUUCAUCCCCAAGAAGAAGCAGUUCAGUAACCCCAUCCUGGACCAGCCAUGUCCAAUUCACACGAAGCUGGAUGAAGAGGGCAACGCCAUAUAUCCAAAGCAUACCACUCGGCAGUGUCGCCUCCUGAUCCAGGGGUUCGGCGAAGGGCAACCGAGUGAAAAGGGAAAUGAACAGGAUGAGGAGGACAAGGAGGAUCCGUUCCCCCAAGUCCAUGCAACACUGAUGAUUUUUGCUGACAUUGAGAGCAAGAGUCGACUGAAGCUGGUGAACAGGGAGGUGAACAUGGCCACGCCGACCAACCCACAUUCCUCGAAUGGUCUCAGACUGCGAUCACCUUUGACCAGUCGGAUCAUCCAGCAGACGUACCCACCCCAGGGAGGCAGGCUCUGGUUGUCGACCCGGUGGUGGAAGGAGUCCGUCCGACUGCGCAAAGUCCUCAUGGACGGCGGCAGUGGUUUGAACAUCAUGCACGCUAACACUCUCAAGGGGAUGGGCGUUCCGAUGUCCAAACUUAGCGAGAGCAGCAUGCAGUUCCUUGGAGUCGUCCCUGGACGAAAGGCCAAGUCACUCGGCCAGAUCGCGUUGGACGUCAUCUUCGGCUCCGACAAGAACUUCCGCAAGGAAAAGUUGACGUUCAAGGUGGUGGACUUCCAGAGUGCAUACCACGCUAUUCUGGGCCGCCCGGCGUAUGCGCGUUUCAUGGCCCGUCCAUGUUACGUGUACUUGAAGGUGAAGAUGCCAGGCCCGAAAGGUGUGAUCACUAUCACAGGCAAUCGACAGCGGGCCGAGGAGUGUCUGCAGUAGGGAUCAAGGAUCGCUGAUCAGCACAUGGCUGUCCUCGAGCUUGACGAGUACAAGAAAACAGUCGACCCUGCUGCUUGAUGCGUUCGAAGAAGCCAGCUUCGGAGUCCGCAUUCCAGUCGGCGGGAGAGACGAAGAAGGUCAGCAUCCACCCGACGGACGACACCGCUGCCCCGACGAACAUCUCCACCACCCUCGAUCCUAAAUAGGAAGCUGAGCUCAUCCAAUUCCUCCGUGAGAACUGGGACAUCUUCGCAUGGAAGCCCUCUGACAUGCCAGGUGUACCCAGGGAGUUGGCUGAGCACCGAUUGCAUGUGGAUCCCGCCGCUCGGCCUGUCCGAGAACGCCUGCGUCGGUCCGCCGCGCACAAGAGGAAGGCAAUCAGAGAAGAGGUGGCCAAGCUUUUGGCAGCCGACUUCAUUCGUGAGGUACACCACUCCGAGUGGCUCGCCAAUGUUGUCAUGGUGCCCAAGAAGGACAAGUCGCUCCGAAUGUGCAUCGACUUCAAGCAUCUCAAUAAGGUCUGCCCGAAAGACCAUUUUCCGCUCCCCCGCAUCGAUCAAAUUGUCGAUUCGACUGCGGGUUGCGAGCAUUUGUCAUUUCUUGAUGCCUACUCGGGCUAUCAUCAGAUCCGUCUGUAUGGCCCCGAUGAACUAAAAACAGCCUUCAUCACCCCAUUCGGGUGCUUCUGCUACAUCACUAUGCCAUUUGGUUGAAGAAUGCAGGAGCAACAUUUAUGCGCAUGAUCCAAAAAUGCCUCCUCGACCAGAUCGGUCGGAAUGUGGAGGCGUAUAUGGAUGAUAUCGUAGUCAAGUCACGCAAAGGUUCCGACCUGCUGACUGACUUGGGAGAAACAUUCGCCAACCUUCGUAGGUACGAUAUCAAGCUCAACCCAGCCAAGUGUUCAUUCGGCGUUCCCAGCGAAAAGUUACUCGGUUUCUUCGUUUCCGAACGAGGGAUCGAUGUCAACCCCGAAAAUAUCGGGACCAUCGUCCGAAUGGAGCGGUCGGUCAGAAUACACGAUGUUCAAAGGCUCACAGGUUGCCUAGCGGCUUUGAGCAGGUUUAUCAGUCAACUCGGCGAGAAGGCGCUUCCUCCGUACCGACUCAUGAAGAAAUCAGAUACUUUCGCGUGGACAGACGAAGGCCAAGUCGCAUUCGACGACCUCAAAGUCCUACUUUCCACCCAGCCGGUUCUUACUGCUCCGCUCAAAGUCGUCAGCACUGUCCUCACAGUCGAACAGGAAGAAGAAGGCAAAGCAUACAAGGUUCAGCGACCCUUGUAUUAUGUCUCCGAAGUCCUGACUCCUUCCAAGCAGAGGUAUCCCCACUAUCAAAAACUUAUCUACGGGAUUUACAUGACUGCGAAGAAGGUGGCCCAUUAUUUCUAAGAUCACUCGGUGUCUGUCAUUUCUGAUGCUCCGUUGUCGGAAUUCCUCCACAAUCGGGAUGCAUCGGGCCGAGUGGCGAAGUGGGCAAUGGAGAUGUUGUACUGCGACAUCAAGUUCGAGGCCAAGAAAGCUAUAAAGUCUCAAGCUCUAGCUAACUUCAUAGCAGGAUGGGUAGAACAACAGCAACCGACUCACAUCUACUCGGCUCAUUGGACAAUGUUCUUCGAUGGGUCUAAGAUGUUGAAUGGCUCCGGCGCUGGCGUUGUGAUCAUAUCGCCAAAGGGUGACAAACUCAAGUAUGUGUUGCAGAUACACUUUGAUUCCUCCAACAAUGAGGCAGAGUAUGAAGCUCUCCUUUAUGGACUGCGCAUGGCCAUCGCACUCGGCGUCCGUCGCCUCAUGGUCUAUGGCGAUUCGGAUUUGGUAGUUAAUCAGGUGAUGAAGGAGUGGGACGUCAGGAACCCCACCAUGACCACAUACUGCAAUGCAGUGAGGAAGUUCGAGAAAAAGUUUGAAGGCCUAGAACUCCACCAUGUUCCGCGACUGAAGAACCAAGCAGCAGAUGAGUUGGCAAAACUCGGAUCCACUCGGAGACCAGUCCCGAGUGACGUCUGCCUCGAGCACCUCCACCUUCCCUCAGUUAAAGAAGAUCCUUUCACAGAGGAACCAGUACAACCAAAGAGCUUGACAGAUCCAACUGAAGUCGACGUACCUGUUGUGGUUGAUUUGAUCAUGGAGAUUCUUGUUGUCAUCCCCGAUUGGACUGUGCCGAUCAUUGCAUACAUCCUGAGGCAAGAACUACCAGAAGACGAAGUCCAAGCCAGACAGAUCAUCUGCAGGUCAAAGUCGUUCACUGUCAUUGAUGGCCAGUUGUACAAAGAAAGCGUUUCAGGCGUCCUUCAACGAUGCAUCUCCCCUGAGGAGGGACAGUUAAUCCUGGAAGAAAUUCACUCGGGAACCUGCGGUCAUCAUGCCUCUUCAAGAGCAAUCGUCACCAAAGCAUUCAGAGCUGGUUUCUUCUGGUUGCAGGCGAAUGAAAUGGCGAAAGAUAUGGUCGACCGAUGUGAAGGCUGUCAGUUUUACUCUAACAAGUCCCACAAGCCAACAUCUGCGUUGAAGACAAUCCCUCUUGUUUGGCCGUUUGCGGUAUGGGGAUCAGAUACAGUCGCUCCAUUCAGGACAUGCCAAGGGGGAUUCACACAUCUGUUGGUAGCAGUCGACAAGUUCACAAACUGGAUUGAAGCCAAGCACAUCAAGAAGCUCGACGCCCUUACGGCCAUCAAGUUUGUCAGGGACAUCAUAUCCAGAUUCGGGGUACCUCACAGCAUAAUCACUGACAACAGAACAAACUUUGACUCGGACAGAUUCAAAGGUUUUUGUACAGGCCAAGGUAUCUGAGUGGAUUUUGCAUCUGUGGCGCAUCCCCAAACAAACGGGCAAGCAGAGCGGGCGAAUGGACUUAUUCUGCAAGGUUUGAAGCCUCGACUACUGCGAGAGGCGGGACAUGCCACUGGCGCAUGGGUCACCGAGCUACCUUCGGUGCUUUGCGGUCUCCGCACAACCCCAAAUAGAUCUACAGGGCAAUCCCUGUUCUUCCUCGUUUACGGAGUAGAGGCAGUCCUUCCGAGUGACUUGCUUCACAACGCUCCACGAGUUGAACUCUUCUCCGAAGCUGAAGCAGAACAAGCAAGACAAGACGGAGUGGAUCUUCUAGAAGAGGAGCGCGAGAUGGCACUGACUCGCUCAACCAUUUAUCAACAAGAUCUGCGGCGCUUUCACGCGCGACACGUCAGGAGUCGUACAUUCCAAGCAGGCGACCUGGUGCUCCGAGUGGAUCAGCAGAGACCUCACAAGUUGGCUCCCGCCUAGGAAGGACCCUUCAUCAUCUCCAAGGUGCUGAACAACGGAGCAUACCAACUCUACAACAUCGACAGGGAAACGGACGAGCCGCAAACAUGGAACGGAGAUCUCUUGAAGCGCUUCUACACGUGACCGUCGACUGAAGCAAUGUAAAGAACAAGUAUUGUUGAAGUAAUACAAAGCAGAUUGAGUAUUUGCAGAUUCAAAAUUCUUCCGCGGUCGCAGACUCCGGUCUAAAAAAAAGCUUAGCUGCGAUCACGAAUCGCCUAAGUAUUAACUUUCUCCGAGUGUGCACUAAACGUCGCACUACGGGAACUUAGCUGUGAUCACGAAUCGCCUAAGUAUUAACUUUCUCCGAGUGUGCACUAAACGUCGCACUCGGGGACUUAGCUGCGAUCCAGAAUCGCCUAAGUAUUAACUUUCUCCGAGUGUGCACUWAACGUCACACUCGGGGACUUAGCUGCGAUCAAGAAUCGCCUAAGUACAAWUUUCUCCGAGUGUGCACUAACCGUCGCACUCGGGGACUUAGCUGCGAUCACGAAUCGCCUAACUACACACUUUCUCCGAGUGUGCACUUAACGUCGCACUCGGGGACUUGUCUGCGAUCAAGACUCGCUUAAAUAGAAAGCUUCCUUCGAGUGUAUCUCACAGAUCCACUCGGAGGCUCAGCCGACCCUCACUGAGGCUCAUGCAGAUGUCAAGACAACUCACAAUUACAUGAGUNNNNNNNNNNNNNNNNNNNNNNNNNNNNNNNNNNNNNNNNNNNNNNNNNNNNNNNNNNNNNNNNNNNNNNNNNNNNNNNNNNNNNNNNNNNNNNNNNNNNACCGAAGGGAAAAGCUUGGAACAGAGGUUUCUGACUCCUCGAUUCAUCCAUCUCAUAGUUAUCGAUAGAAAUCCGUCAAUGAGGUUGAUCAAGUCUCCUUGACAAACUUUUCGAAUCAUAAAAGAAGACGGAGAAUUUUUUUCAAAUAGUCACUAGGUUACCUCAAUGGGGAUGUGUAUCUCCCCAACAAGCAAAUCAUACUUCAUCUUGACAGGAGGUAUAGGACAUUCAAAGCUCCCAAUAAGAAUCGAUGAAGUUUUUUAGAUAGCAUUGAUGCAAUGUACUCGAUAUUGUUUCUUCGGAAAGUGCACCGUAUGCUCAUUAACGUUGACAUGGAAAGUGACAUUGCCUUUGUUGCAAUCUAUAACAACCCCUGCAGUGUUUAAAAAGGGUCUUCCGAGGAUGACCGCCAUGACAUCAUCCUCAGGAAUAUCCAAGAUAACAAAGUCUGUUAAGAUAGUGACGUUGGCAACCACAACAUGCACAACGUCGCAAAUGUCGAUAGGGAAAGCAGUUGAUUUGUCGGCCAUUUGCGGAGAGAUUUCACUGGGUGUCAACUUAUCUAUUUCAAGUCUACGAUAAAGAGAGAGAGUCAUAACACUAACACCGGCUCCAAGGUCACAUAAAGCAGUUCUAACGUAGUUGCCUUUAAUGGAGCAAGGUAUAGUGGGCACUCCGGGAUCACCUAGUUUCUUAGGAGUUCCACCCUUGAAGGUAUAAUUAGCGAGCAUGGUGGAAAUCUCAACCUCAGGUAUCCUCCUUUUAUUAGUAACAAUAUCCUUCAUGUACUUAGAAUAUGGAGACAUUUUGAGCAUAUCUGUCAAACGCAUUUGCAGAAAGAGAGGUCUAAUCAUUUCAACAAAUUGCUCAAAGUCCUCAUCAUCCUUUUUCUUGGAUGGUUUGGAAGGAAAGGACAUGGGUUUCUGAACCCAUGGUUCCCUUUCUUUACCAUGCUUCCUAGAAGUGAAGUCAUUCUUAUCGUAUCUCCUAUUCUUAGGUUGUGGGUUAUCAAGAUCAACAGGUUCAAUCUCCACAUCCUUAUCAUUGCUUGGUUGAGCAUCUUCAUGAACAUCACUAUUGAUAUUAUCAUUAGGCUCAUGUUCAUCACCAGAUUGUGUUUCAACAUCAGAGGCAGAGACAUCGUUUGGACUCUCAGGGGUAACAACAUCUGGGUUGCUAGCGUGCAGGUUCCUAUCAUCUUUCUUCUUCUUUCUAGGAUGACUAGGUGCAUCAGUGCUAACUCCUUGAGAAUCUUGUUCAAUUCUCUUAGGAUGACCCUCAGGAUACAAAGGUUCCUCGGUCAUUCUACCGCCUCUAGUGAUGACUCUGACAGAAUUGUCAUUCAACUCAUUGAGCAAGUCAUUGCAUAAUAGGCGUGGGCCGAAUCCCCUGUCCCCGGGAUCUGAAUCCCUUAGAUCCAGGGCGACCGCCCCACUCUCCACCGCCUCCCUCUUACUGGCCGCUGGGCCCCACCUGCCCGAGCCUCCCUCCCCCGUCGGCCAUCUUCCUUCUCCUUCCUAUUCUACUGCCCGAGACCGAGCAGCACCAGGACUCGGGAUUUCCAUGCCGAUCCUCCCUUCCCCUCCUUCCUUUCCUCUCCCUCCGCAGGCCUAUAAAUACCCCGAGCCUCGCCGCCCCCGUUCCCACCCUUUCCCCGUCGAGCCGCCGCCCCUAGCCCCUGCCACCGCUCGCCGGAGCAGCCUGAGCUGCUGUCACCUUCGGUCCCCUGGAGCGCCACCCCGUCAGCCGCCCCUCUCCCCCCGAGCGCCUCCCCGAGGAGGAGGACUGCCCCGCCGCCGCCGCCCCGACUCCUCCAACGCCCCGGAGCCCCCUCCCCCCUCGCCGGUGACGGCCCUCGCCGGAGCUACCCCCAGCCAGCACGGUAGCUUCAUCUCUCUUCCUCUGUUGUUUUCUUUUUUUGCUUUGUAGCCAUUAGAUCUCCACUCAACGUUGUAGAUUAUAUCAUAUAUAACUCUUCGGUUUAGAUUAGAAAAACCAACGGUUUUUAGUUUCAGUNNNNNNNNNNNNNNNNNNNNNNNNNNNNNNNNNNNNNNNNNNNNNNNNNNNNNNNNNNNNNNNNNNNNNNNNNNNNNNNNNNNNNNNNNNNNNNNNNNNNUGUUGUUGCUUGAUAACUGGAUCACGUCAUUAGGAGAAUCACGUGAUGGACUAGACCCAAACUAAUAGACGUAGCAUGUUGAUCGUGUCAUUUUGUUGCUACUGUUUUCUGCGUGUCAAGUAUUUAUUCCUAUGACCAUGAGAUCAUAUAACUCACUGACACCGGAGGAAUGCUUUGUGUGUGUCAAACGUCACAACGUAACUGGGUGACUAUAAAGAUGCUCUACAGGUAUCUCCGAAGGUGUUAGUUGAGUUAGUAUGGAUCAAGACUGGGAUUUGUCACUCCGUGUGAACGAAGAGGUAUCUCGGGGCCCACUCGGUAAUACAACAUCACACACAAGCCUUGCAAGCAAUGUAACUUAGUGUAAGUUGCGGGAUCUUGUAUUACUGAACGAGUAAAGAGACUUGCCGGUAAACGAGAUUGAAAUAGGUAUACGGAUACUAACGAUCGAAUCUCGGGCAAGUAACAUACCGAAGGACAAAGGGAAUGACAUACGGGAUUAUAUGAAUCCUUGGCACUGAGGUUCAAACGAUAAGAUCUUCGUAGAAUAUGUAGGAUCCAAUAUGGGCAUCCAGGUCCCGCUAUUGGAUAUUGACCGAGGAGUCUCUCGGGUCAUGUCUACAUAGUUCUCGAACCCGCAGUGUCUGCACACUUAAGGUUCGACGUUGUUUUAUGCGUAUUAGAGUUAUAUGGUUGGUUACCGAAUGUUGUUCGGAGUCCCGGAUGAGAUCAUGGACGUCACGAGGGUUUCCGGAAUGGUCCGGAAAUGGAGAUUGAUAUAUAGGAUGACCUCAUUUGAUUACCGGAAGGUUUUCGGAGUUACCGGGAAUGUACCGGGAAUGACGAAUGGGUUCCGGGAGUUCACCGGGGGGGGGGGGGCAACCCACCCCGGGGAAGCCCAUAGGCCUUGAGGGUGGCACACCAGCCCUUAGUGGGCUGGUGGGACAGCCCAAAAAGGGACUCUAUGCGCCUAGGAGAGAAAAUCAAGAGAGAAAAAAAAAGGAGGAGGUGGGAAGGAAGGGGGNNNNNNNNNNNNNNNNNNNNNNNNNNNNNNNNNNNNNNNNNNNNNNNNNNNNNNNNNNNNNNNNNNNNNNNNNNNNNNNNNNNNNNNNNNNNNNNNNNNNCACGAAUCGCCUAAGUACUCAAUUGCCUUUCGAGUGUAUCCUACAGAUCCACUCGGAGACUCAGCAGACCCUCAGUGAGGCUCAUGUAGAUGUCAAGACAAACUGACAAUUACAUGAGUAACAACUCGCUCCGAGUACGACCUUACAGUCACAACUACGAAGACUUAGCCGCGGUCACGAAUCGCCUAAGUACUCAAUUGCCUUCGAGUGUAUCCUACAAAUCCACUUGGAGACUCAGCAGACCCUUAGUGAGGCUCAUGCAUAAGUGAAGACAACUAAAAAUUACAUGCUCCGCAUGUUUGCCAUUGGCUUCACCAAGAAACGCCAAACAAAAACCACGAGCCAAAAUCGUGUCAACAACUCUUUGGCAAAAGUAGAGCAAAAGAUUCGAUUCCAAAUUCAAAGUUCGCCUAAAGAUAGCUGGUUCGGUGUAGAUCAAGCUUAAUCCACACCGAACCACGAAUGUGACGGCCAACAGCAGUGGCCCAAGUUUCAUACAGCUAACACUCGGCAUACCGAGGUAAAAGNNNNNNNNNNNNNNNNNNNNNNNNNNNNNNNNNNNNNNNNNNNNNNNNNNNNNNNNNNNNNNNNNNNNNNNNNNNNNNNNNNNNNNNNNNNNNNNNNNNNGCAUUCCUCCGGUGUCAGUGAGUUAUAUGAUCUCAUGGUCAUAGGAAUAAAUACUUGACACGCAGAAAACAGUAGCAACAAAAUGACACGAUCAACAUGCUACGUCUAUUAGUUUGGGUCUAGUCCAUCACGUGAUUCUCCUAAUGACGUGAUCCAGUUAUCAAGCAACAACACCUUGUUCAUAAUCAGAAGACACUGACUAUCUUUGAUCAACUGGCUAGCCAACUAGAGGCUUGCUAGGGACGGUGUUUUGUCUAUGUAUCCACACAUGUAAAUGAGUCUUCAUUCAAUACAAUUAUAGCAUGGAUAAUAAACGAUUAUCUUGAUACAGGAAUUAUAAUAAUAACUAUAUUUAUUAUUGCCUCUAGGGCAUAAUUCCAACAGGCUCGGCCCCUCUCGACCCUCCGUUGGGCGAUAUGCCCUCUCACGUCGGGCCUUGGAUUGUAAGUGUCACCGACUGAACGCCGAUCAUCAUGAUGUCGGGGCCCGUAGGGCCCACCCCGCAGAGGGGUGCGUGAAUGGCGACGAUCUUCGAGAUUUAUGGAACGGCUGCCUCCCGUGUGUCGCUGAUGAGAACCAGGGCUGUGAACUGACCGAUGCGUGUUCGCAUGAACAGAACUAUUCUGGAUCCUGUUGUGCGACUGGGAGACCGCAGAAUUUUGCUGCUACACCGUGUGCAGCAGGGCGCGGAUUUUCUCGAUCCCCCUGCCAGCCUCUGAAUCAGUCGGCUGAAGGGAAUCGGCUAUCUUGGCGGUGGCAGCCAGGUUGAGGACUGGUGUGCGGAACACCUCUACCUUGCUCCACCGAGUGUGCCGACUGGCAGAACGGCGGGGAUGACGGCGAGCGCCGGAUGUUUCGCCGACCUCGAGCUUGUUCUGGCCAGUUUGGCGGGGACUUUCAUGGGAGUUGGCCAUGUGCACUUCAUCCGCACGCCCGCGACCCAAGUACUCAGAACGAAACUCAGUCGGAACUGAGUCCGAGCGGUAGGACGGCGGUGCAACCACAACCGACUCUAGGACCGCCACUUGUGAGGACGCGUUCUGGCGCGCCUGGGCGUGUUGCACCCAACGCUGGAGCCGCGGACGGCGGGACCGCUUGUAGCGGCGCGCGACGGCGGCGUAGGUCGACACCUGAGCCGACUACUGGAGAAGAAGAAUACCGCGGGCGCCGGCAUGGAAGUGCGUAGCCCGACGACGGGGGAGCGCCUCGACGUCGAGAGGGGCAUCCCGAUGCCAUGCUGAAUCAUUGACGAUGAAGGAGAGAGCGCCGGAGAGGAUCUGGUGACCCAUGCUCAAAUCUCCACCGGAUGACAUGACGAAAAGAUGUAGUCACAAACUCGCCGGAAGUCGCUUAGACGCCUGCCCCACGGUGGGCGCCAACUGUCGUGGGUAUAAGUCUGACAGUAGAUGUGUAGGGUACGAAAGGAUGGGCAGAGCCUUAGCUACGGCGAGGUUGUAUGAGUUCAGGCCCCUCUACGGUGGAGGUAAUAGCCCUACGUCUCAGUGCUCUUGGGAGCUUGUUGUUGAGUGGAAUAUGGAUUACAGUGAAUUGCUAACCCCUGCACCAGUGGGGAAGGGUGGCUUAUAUAGAGUGCGCUGCCCUUCACAAUGGUUCGGUGCACAGGGGUGGAGUAGUGGCGAAUAAAUGCCUACGUUACAGGUAACGUAUGUCUUAAAUGCUAAUAAAGGCACAUGGAAACGUACGACCGUUUCCCUCCAGGGGGUUACGAUGCACAGAGUGGAAUCGUGUCAGUUAGUUUAUACACCCCGAAUGCUCAUCUCCGACUAGAUGAUGGAGGAUUCGUCACCGACUGGAUGAUGGGAAGUUCUUAAUUCAGUCGGAACUGACUAAGGGCCUUAUCUCUUAUGAAGGGUAGUCCUUGGGUAGGACUUAUAGGGCAGGCCUAUGACCCUACCCUAGGACUAUAACCCCAUCACUACUCAACACUACCAAAGAGAACCGUAGGAAACACCGUGCUCCAACAACACCGAGGGUUGACGAAUCAUCUUUUGCCCUAUGAUGUAUUAUCUGAAAUGCUCAAUGCACACGAUUAGUCCACAGAGGUGUUGUCAUCCAUUACCAAAACUACUUAGAACAAAAUAUGCCCUAACAGCUACAUGACGCGCUAGUAUCAUUGCAUAUCCUGCUACACUGGCAGAGGCAUACAUUUGCAUACAUCAUGAUGUUUUUCACUUGUCUUUAUGUUGAGUACUUCUUAUAAAGUGUGAUGACCUUCUUUUGAUUCAUGUAAAACUUAGAGUGUUGCCCUUAAGUGAUGAAAAGAUCCCAAAGAGGCCACAAAAAAAUGAAAUAAAAAGAAAUAAAAAGAGAGAAGGGGGAAACACUACUAUUCCUUUUCAAAGAUCCACACUCGUACUCCAUUGCUAUAUUUGUACUACAUAGAGAUUAUCAUUCAUGCAUAACUAUGUGGGGACCUUACACUAUAGAACUUGGUUUGCAUAUUACAAUAAUGAGCCUUCUCAAAUGAUCUCUAGGUCUUAAUGAGCAAACAAGUUGGAUGCACCCCCACUAGUUCCAUUGGAGGCUUACCUUAGCUCAUAUGUCCAUCCGUUACAUGGCAAUCCCUACUCCUCACAUCAUAUCUAUCAUUUGGCUUUCUCUCGCUUAUGAUUGUCCUCAUUGAUGUGAGCCUUUCACACGUUUUUUCUUCCUUCCCCAUCGUUAUUCUAUUUUCCAUCCUAAGUGCCAACGUAUCUUGCUUACGCUCAUCCAUUGCAUAAGUUCUCAAAGUCGAAAGGGAGAGGAUCAUUUUGACUUGUGCCUGACUAGUGGUCUGGGGAUGAGUCAAAAUAAGAUUCCGAAGGAGACCAAGUGUGAAGUUUAGUAGAUUGAGUUCUCAAUUAGAAAAUAUAUUUUAUGAUCUCAACCUAUCUCCCACUUCAUGCACGCAAACACCAUUUGGAGACAUUCGAGUCACGGACAACGAGACCUCUUGCACCUUUAUGUUCUUACUUUGCUAAUUUCAAUACUAGAUAUAAACUCUUGCUUAUUAUUGUCUUGAUUUGAAUUGCAUAUCUUACUAGCUUUAAUUUAAAGUUCUUAUAUAUGUGUUAGCAUGUCACCACAGAAAUUAUUAUGUUAUCAUUUAUCUACUCGAGGACGAGCUGAAAUUAAGCUUGGGGAUGUUGAUACGUCCCAAAACGUAUCUUUAAUUUCUGCUUGUUCCAUGAUCUUUUGGGUGACAUUGUUAUCUGUUUUGCUACACUUUUAUAUAAUUUUACACAUAUUUGGACUAACCUAAUAACUCAGUGCACCCAGUGCCAGUUUCUGUCUGCUGAUGUCUAUUUUGCAGGGGCUUUUGCCCAAUUUUCGAAAGCCCGAAAAAUCCAGAGAAAAAUAUAUAAAAAUCAGCGUACCGGAAGCUUGCAGAUCAUCGAAGAUGGGCCGGAGGGAGGCCAGGGGCCGCCCAGGCGACCUGUGGGCGCGACCUACCCCCUGGCCGCGCCAAGAGGCUGCCUGGGUGGGUCCCAGACCCUCUAGUGCCCUCCUUUCUCCUAUAUUUACCCCUUGACGAGGAAAACCCUACAGGGUAUCCAGAAUCACGAAUUUCUCCAUAGUUCCGCUACCGCAGCGCUUCCGAGAUCGGGAGCGUCAGGAGACCUCUUCCCGGCACCCUGUCGGAGGGAGCAUUGACCUCCGGGAGCUUCUCCACCUCCAUGGACGCUUCCCGGACCUGCCGUGAGUAGUCCUCCUUGGACCAUGGGUCCAUAACCAGUAGCUAUGUGAUGUCUUCUCUCCAAUCUUGUGCUUCAAUGGUUAGUCCUUGUGAGCUGCCCUACAUGAUCAAGGCAUCUAUGUAAUUCUCUUACUAUUGCUAUGCUCAGUUUGUUGGGAUCCGAUGGAUUAUGAUAUUAUGUUUAGAUUGUUAUGAGUUAUAUAUUUGAUUAUCCUUUUAUAUUAUGUUCCUUAGUGAUUCAUGCAUGUUCUUCGUUGCUAUUUAUUGCUUUGGUCGUGUAGUAGAUUGUAACUCCAAGACGGAGCGUUAUGCAUGAUUGUGGGUUCAUGCCCCUCGAUGUCUAGCUUGAGUGACAGAAACAUGAGACUAGGGGAUGUGUUGUUGCCACCAGGGAGAAAACAACGAUGCUUGUGACCACGGCUGUAAGGAUUGUUUACCUUAAGCAUAGUUCAUUAAUGUAGUUUUCCGUUGCUUUGAGUUUACACUUUGGGUGAGGCUCGCAACUUAAUACCGAAGAGAUGUUCUGGAUAGAUAUCUCAAGGUGGAUGAUUAGUAAGUUGAUGCUGAUGAAUAAACAGUCUACUUGUCUUGGCGUACUGCCCAUUACUAUUGAACCUCUAACUAUCAAGUAGCAUAAUUAGCAUUGCGGUGCGUUCAUAAUUUUGUCAAUUGCCCAACUGUAAUUUGUUUACCCAAGCAUAGUUGUUUAUCGUCUUUUGGGAGAGAGACAUCACUAGUGAACAUCAUGUGACUCCAGUCCAUAUCACCAUCAUCGUUUACACCGCCAUUAUUUACUGUUUGCAUUUACUUUUCCGUUGUAAUCACUAUUACUUUUCCCGCUUGUGUUUUGAUCCUUUGCAAACUACAAGGCCGGAGAGAUUGACAACCUCUCUGUACUCGUUGGGAGCAAAGUUAUUUGUUAUGUGUGCAUGUCCACGUCUUCUGCUAGCGCCAGGGUGGGAGAUACCUACUUGUUGAACCUAUGAGUUCUCCUGGUUCGAUAAACCUUAUAGUCUUCGUGUGAGGGAAACUUGUUGCUGACUACAUCUCAACCUUCCACUUGGGGUAACCAACGAGGUGCGAGAAGUAGAUACAUCAUAUCGUCAUCAGAGGCCACCCGAAACGCCCACAACCAAGAGGCGGAGCACGAAUACCUCGAGGACCUGGAUGGGCGCAUCCUCACCGGCAAGGUUGCCUUUGUUGUGGCGCGCGAGGAGGCCCUUGCUGAUGCAGACGUGAAGGUAGCUCGAGAGCAGGCGGCUGCCCUGGAGGAGUACCCCGACGAGUUCGCCCGAUAGGAGGCCUUUCUCCAGCUCAAGUACAACCUGCUGUAAGAGGAGGUGAUCAUGCUCCGGGCCCAUCUGUAGGGUGCUCAAGCUGCCAUGGAGGUCGCCUUCAGGAGUGAGGGGGAGGCCAAGGAGGAGCUAAAGUCGCUCCAGGCCUAGGUUGGUGAAGCCGUCGACGCCUCGCAGGCGGCCAAUGAUGACACGGUGCACGCCGUCACAUGGCAGCGCACGUGCGACGUUUGGAGGCGCAGUUCACCCAGAAGUUCCUCGAACUGGCCCUCCAUGCAGGCCAUGCGCUCUGUCGUUUCGUUAGGGAUGGCCCCGUGCUGUCGCGUGCUCACGGCAAUGGAGGUGACCCGGACUUCCUCCUCAAGGUGGUGGAGGCGCUAGAGUCGGGCGCCUCCAAGGUGGAGGAAUGCAUCGAGUCCGGCGCACGCGACCUCCUUGGCAACGCGCUGACGCGUGUUUUCUCCAACCUGCACCGCCACAAUCCCACGUUCGACCUCUCCCGCAUGAUGGAGCCGGUGCAUGCGGUGCGCAGGUACGUGGCGUCUCUGGUCAGGCGGUUCGCCCAGAUGGUGCCUUCCGAGGAGGGCGGCAACCUCGACAUCGUAGCUCUCGAGGCCACGGCGAGGAGGGUGCCUCCUCUGCUUAAGCUUCCCCAACCUUUUCCUAUUGCACCAAAGAACCCUCGGCCCCGGGGGGCGUCAAACAUUUUUGACUUACUUUUUCCUUGAGUAAUGGUUGCCUGUUAUGCUUGGGGGCAUCUUCAUUUCUUCUACGAGGUCUUCCGUUUUUCUCUAUGUGUUUCUUGUGCUUUGGCUGACCAGGGCUCACAACACACAGUUCCGGAGGCCCUAUUCUCGAUGUGCGUCUAGGCCGCGGGCCGGCAGCCCCCGAGCACUGCUAGCUUCGAAUUCCCUUGGCCAUGGUACCCUGUGAAGCCCCCGAGGGCAGCCCCUCGAGACAACCCCGUGGACGCGUCGCGAAGCUGCCGACAAUGGUUGUUCGUGCGGGCCUCACGGGGUUGAUACCUUCGCGAUGGCUCCACCCUAGCCUCCUGACGGUGGUGCUUCGGGAACUCGGCCUCCCCUUUUCGCGUUGCCUUCUUUUUCCUAAAAUGCAACAUGCUGGCUCCAUGGGGGCGCAUGAAAGGGGUUAUGUCCUCUGCUCCACAAACUGAUUUGAAUGUUAUUUUGGGUCGAAACUAAGCUUCCCCUUAGCACUUCCCUACCGAGCUUGCACCCCCUCCACGGUCGCUCAGUUGCCUCGUGGUGUUAGAGCCCAUCCCCCGAGCAUGGAUGUGUGGUCUUCCGAGGAACGAUGCUCAAGAGCUCGCCUUCUUUGCGUAGCGGCUCAUGCGAGCAGUUGCUUCUUGCGGGGCUCGCCACGCGAGGUCCUUGUGGGAAGUCCUACAUAGAAAACACCUUUUUCAACAGCACAUGCUAGACCGCUUACAUUUGGUCGUCCCCGUUUGCAUUUGGGCAUGGUAGGAGGGCAGAAAAACAAGAAAGCUCCAAAAAACCAGAAAACCGAGACCGUCCCGACAAAACCCAAAGCUAAUUGUUUGCGAGCCCAAAAAGGAGAGGUGCGGCUACUGUACCCAAGAGGGCUAGCCCAGUGAGCUCGUUCGCAAGUCAAAGACAGGAAAGAAUAUAAGCAGCCAUGAUGCCCACCACGGGUCAACCUAGAAAGAAAUGUGGUUGUCAUAUCCAAAACGGGUCAACAUAAAAGAAGUGUUCGACACUCAUUCCGCCAGCGCUGAGCAUUGGGACUUCCCCUUGGGCGUGGGGGAGCCCUCCACCGAGGCCACGACGCGGCUCGUCGUGGGCUUCCACUUAGGAGGCUCUCGGCAUAUACGACCCACUCAAUAUUACGUGAGAAUGUCACGGGUAGGCUUCUUGGAGUUCGACUUCGAGGUCCCACCCUCUGUAUUUAGGCGAGUGACGCGGGGACGGGAGACAUGGGCGAUGUUGUGGGGGCCCCCACCCUCCAUCCCCACGCGCGCGGUGUCUGGACUCGGGAUAUGGGCGAUUCUGAAGGCCCCCCUCCCUCCAUCUCCAUGCACACGCUGUCAAGCCUAGAGACAUGGGCGCUUCAAAAGGGGUUCUCCCCCAGAGGGUUCGCCUCUCGCGCUUCCUCAAGCAUCGGCGAGGAAACGUGUACGUUGGUGCAGUGCUCCUGUGGCCCAAGCAUGAGAACCAUAACGCCCCAUAUGGCUUGAAGGGUCUGGUUGCACGUCGGCGACUUGACACUAAAGCUUAGGAUUAGGGAAAAUGACAGCAUCUCAUUUGAAGGUUAAUCAAGUUCAUUACUUAUUCAGGAAACAUCCGCUUGGGCAGAUAUUAAAUACUAGGAAUUUCUUGAUCCAAACAAUCCAAAAAGUUACGUGAUGGCCCAACCAUCGCGGGAGUGUCAGGCCGCCUGUUGUUACGUACCGCGGGGGUCCACCCUGCUCGCGGGGGACAGCUGAGUCCUGAGGCUAUUUGCUCUUGAAGCUUCACAAGUGCGCAGGGUCCCGAUACCUCAUGAGGUGCGCAUGGCCUACACUCCUUGCAACUUGUCAAUCUCCCAAACGGAGAACCCCCAUGUAUGAGAACCCAAAAGAUGUUGCUAGAGAAGAUGAGAUCCUAGCUAAUGCCCCUCCUCCUCCUCCUCCUCCUCAUAAGCUCAUAGCUAAUGCUAUGCACAAGAAAUCUGUUCAAAAUCCUGCUUCUAAAGCUAAAAGGUUGUAGCUCCCAAAAGGACUACAAAGGUCAUUCCUGCAGCUGUCAAGAACAAAGGUCCUGCUUUGAGUACCUUUGCUGCAGAGGAAGAAGAAUAGAAUGCACCUAUUCUCACAAAGAUUAGGCCCAAUCUGCCACUGCACAAUGUUGCUCGUCCAGUAGCUGAAGAUAUGAAGAAGAGGAAAUACGCAGGUUUAAGGAAAUGGAGAGUUGCAAAUCCAUAUGCCAUAAGGAGAAGAACUGUUGUUGAUCCAAGGUUUGACACCAAGACUUUUAUGAGACUGUUUUGUAUGACAAAAGUCCAGCUAUUAGUGACAUGAGAUAUGUCGACUGGGCUUACAUCAAAGCCAAUGAAAAAUUCUUUCCCCACGUGCAAGAUAAUUUCAAGUCAGUGGACAUUAAAGAUUUUAUUGGAAAAGAGAUUACUCCAUGGAAUGAAUAACUGAUCACGCAAUUCUAUUCAACUGUUCAUUUCUAUGGUGAUGGCUCUAUUGUCUGGAUGACUGAUGGUCACAAGUAUGAAUCAACUGUUGAUGAGUGGGCCACUAUCAUUGGUGCCCCUAAGCAGAAAGAGAGUGAUGUUGAUGUAUACUCUGAGCAGAAAAUGAGUCACAACUCCAUGUCCAAUAUGUACAAGCCAUUUCCUCGCAAGUUUAUGGCAACCCACAAGUUUGGCUGAGUGUACUUCUUGCAAGUAGGGAUACCUACAACCAAUACCAUUCUGAUACACACCUUAAUGCCUAAAUCACGUGAUGAGAAAAUGAUUAGAGGUCACUCCAUCAACUUUCUACACCAUUUGGACACUGAUACUAGAUUCAGAGUGAUGGACUUGAUAGUAGAUACUAACAGAAGGACUACUACUGAUCAGAAAAGAUCUUGUGGAUAUGCCCCAUAGAUUUAGAUACUUAUCAAUGCCAAGCUAGGGAAGCAUGCAUAUCUCCUCGAUCAUCCCCAUUUACCUCUUCAACUACAAGUUGAAGACAAUGAAGUGGUGAUGGAUGACAAUGAUCCCAGCUUAGCUGUAGCCAGAAUGGCAGCAGAAGCUGAGCGUGCUAGAUAUGUGCCCCCACCAGUUCCAUAGCUCAGCACUCAAGCUGAGCAAAUGGAUUUUCUAGUCAGCUCUAUCAAAGGUAUGGAGUAGAACAUCUCGGAGAUUCUGCAAAAUCACAAGAGUGUGUGCAGAGGAUCAUGGAAACAAAGUUCCAUGAUUUGAAUGUUAAAGUGACUGAGAUAUCUGCUAGUGUUGAUGAGCUCAAGCAUGAAGUUGGCGAUGUUAAAACACCCAGUUCUACUAGUGAUGAUGAAGAGUCACCUCCUCGCACUACCACUCAGUUCAGCACCAAGCCCCGGUCAGCAGUUGUGCCAGUGUUGGAAGCAAUACCAACUUCAUCAGUUGAGGCAUCUGCACCUUUAGCUUCAGCCCCAGCUACAGGUCCUCUAGUAUCCCAUCCUCCAGCUCCAGGACAUUCAGCAGAAGUCUUCGUGGACGCUCUUAUGUCGACUCCUUAAUCAGGUGCCAAGAGAGACGAUUACCUCCAUACUUUUGAACUUUUUGGUAACUUGUUGCCAAACGGGGAGAAAUGUAUAGAUCUUAGGGCUUCGAGAGAGAGAGCUUUUGACUUUAUUUUCUUUCAUUUGUUUUUUUAAACUUUGAUAUUUUGGAUGACAUUAUACUUGUUCCUGUGUUUGAUCAUAUGAUUUGCUUGGUUGAUGCUACAUUAUUAUCUUUUAGCUAUCUAUGUGAUGAUCAUUCACUUAUCUUUUUGGUGUCAUGUGCAUUACUAUUCAUUCUUAUCAUGUAUGCGCGCCACCAAGUUGUAUGUGACAUGGAAGAGUGAUCCAUGAUAAUUGAUUGUGCAUUUGCAUUCAAGCGCAAAUUAUAAGUAAUGCACAAAUUUAGGGGGAGCUCUUGCUUUUCACAUACUUUUCAAAGCGUCGAUGCUAAUCAUUGAUUAUAUCUUUUGUCGAAGCUUUGAUCUAUAUGUUGUCAUCAAUUACCAAAAAGGGGGAGAUUGAAACCAAAAUUGCUCCCUAGGGUGGUUUUCAUAAUUGGUCACAACAUAUGCAUCAUUGGACUAACAUGUUUAUCCAAGUAUAUUUCAGAAAAGUUCAAAACAUGCAGUGGCUAAAGACUUAUGUGGAGAUGCCCCUUGAUGCAAGAAAGGAAUAAAAUUGGCCCAAGCUUCAAGCUAGAAGACUCUUCAUUUUAUAUUUGUGAGAUAUCACUUUUGAGUCCAUAGGAAAGCCAAUACUAUUAAAAGGGGGUGAGGUAUUAAAAUGAACUGGUUGUUCAAGUGCUCAGAGAUAGGCACCAAAAAUACUGAGUCAUUUUCCUACAUAACCGUUCUGUCCAAAACCACAUACUCAAAAUUUGUGCCGCCAAUUUUCUCAUUUUGGCAGUACCGAUAUUCAUCUCAAACAAAACUCUAGCCGAAGCCACCAAAUCGGUGCAACCGAAACCAUGUCGGUGCUACCCAGUUUAGGUGACCAACUUUUUGUUGCCUCGGUACACAAAAUCAGAAUUUCUGAGUUUGAGUAUUGGUGUCACCGAGUUGUUUCAUCUGACCGUUAGCCACCUUUUUGGUGUCACCGUGUUGUGUAUAUUGUUCCACCGAGAUUCAAAAAUAGGUGCCUUUAGUGCAAGUCGGUACCACCAAGUUGAUGAGUUCAGUGUCACCGAGUUAUCCACUUUAGGUGUAACGGUUGAAUUUUGGGGACAACCUAUAUAUACCCCUUCCCCCACCUCUCAUUCGAGAGAGAAGCACUCAGAACACACACCUCAUUGCCAGAUCCAUUUUUCUAAGAGAGAGCCACCUACUCAUGUGUUGAGACCAAGAUAUUCCAAUCCAAUCAUUUGAAACUUGAUCUCUAGCCUCCCCAAGUUGCUUUCCACCAAAUCAAUCUCUCCUACCCAUGCCAAAUCUGAGAGAGAUUGAUUUAGUGUUGAGGAGACUAUCUUUAGAAGCAGAAGAGCAAGGAUUUCAUCGUUCUACCACAUCUAUUACCUUUUGGAAGGUGCUGCCUCCUAGAUUGGUUAGGUGUCACUUGGGUGCCUCCUACUUCAUGUUGUGGAGUUGAACCAAGAUGUUUGUAAGGGCAAGGAGAUCGCCUACUUCGUGAAGAUCUACCGUGAGUAAGGGUAGUCCUUCGUGGGAGGAAGCCAUGGUGGAAUAGACAAGGCCGCUUCUUCGUGGACCCCUUGUGGGUGGAGCCCUUCGUGGACUCUCGCAACCGUUACCCUUCGUGGGUUGAAGUCUCCACUAACAUGUAUGUACGAUAGCGCAACCGUUACCCUUUAUUUUACACUUGCAUGUUUUACAUUCCGCUGCUAUACUCUUAGAACUUCAUGUUUAGGGUUUACUUGACUUGCCAUAAUUGCUAAAGCUGGCCCACAUAUAAAAUUGGGAAAGGCCUAAGUUUUUAUCUUGUCAAGUAGGCUAAUCACCCCCUCUAGACAUACUUUCGAUUCUACAAGUGGUAUUAGAGCCAGGUUUACAUUGCAUUGUUUCAUGACCUAGGACAGUAUGGCAUCUAGUGAGGGAAGUUAUCACCAUAGAGGUCCAUACUUGGAUGGCACUAAUUUUGCUAGUUUGAAGCAUAAGAUGAAAAUGCAUAUUAUUGGUUUUAAUCCUCACGUAUGGGAUGUUAUUCGUGUUGGUGUGCAACGUGUUUUCUUUGGAGAAGGGCGUGAACCAGAUCGCGAUGCGACGGUGGAUGAAAUGAAGAUGUUGCAACUCAAUGCAGAAGCUUGCGACAUCAUCUUCAACUAUCUAUGUCCCGAAUAAUUCAACAAAAUCAGCCGCCUUGAGAAUGCAAAAGAAAUUUGGGAUACUUUGAUCGAUAUGCACGAAGGUACUGAUUCUAUGAGAGAAUCUAAGUUGGAUGUGCUCCAAAGUCAGCUUGACAAGUUCAAGAUGAAGGAUGGUGAAGGUGUAGCUGAAAUGUACUCUAGGCUGGCUCUCAUCACGAAUGAGAUUGCCGGCUUAGGAAGCGAAGAAAUGACCGACAAAUUCAUCAAUAAGAAGAUACUUAGAGCUCUUGAUGGAAAGUAUGACACCGUCUGUCCAUUGAUCAAAAUGAUGCCAAACUACAAAGAUCUCAAGCCAACUGAAGUUAUUGGUAGGUUAUUUUCUCAUGAGAUGUCCCUCAAGGACAAAGAUGAGCUGCACAACAAGUCAAGCGGUGCUUACAAAACUUCAAGCGAUGCCCCCGCUACUUCGAAGGACAAUCUUUUCAUUGAUGAAGAGAUAAGCCCCAUGGUCAGAAAAUUCAACAAGUUCUACAAGAGUACAAGCAAAGAGAGAAGCUCAAGCUCAAGACAUGAUGAGAAGCAUUCGUCCAGUCGUGACCGAAACUGCUAAAACUAUGGGAAGCCCAGACACUACUCCAAUGAGUGCUCGGCUCCCUACAAACGAAGGAAGAGUCACCUCGAAGACGAAGUUCAAGGGAUGAGUCACCUCGUAGAGAGAGAAGGUGUAGAGAAGAUUGUUAUGAACGAAGACACUCGCGGAGAGGCAAGGAAUCAGAGAAGAAGGACAAAUACACCAAGCACAGCUCUAGAAGAAGACAUCAAGCUCAUGUUGGUGAAUGGGUUUGUGGCUCCGAGUCUGACAACCAAUCCAAGAGAAGCUAUCACUCCAACUCUGACUAUAGUCAAGAUGAAGGUGUUGUCGGCAUUGCACUUGUUUCCUCCAACUCCUACGACUUAUUUGAUUCACCAAAUGAGGGGUUUUGAAACUGCUUCAUGGCUAAAGUCCCCAAGGUAUCACACCCCGAGUAUCUUGAUUUUAAUAGUGAUGAGGAUGAAUUGUUAGGAGAAGAUGACUUGCUCUUUGAUAAAACUAGUGAUUUCACUGAAAAUGAACUUGCUCAUUAUCAUCCUAGUCAAGAGAAAUCGAGUGAUGAUGAUAAUAAUGAGAUUGAACAACUAACUAAAGAAUUGAACACUCUUAAUUUAGCUCAUGAAACUACUCUAGAAGAUCAUAGAGAGCUUGUAAGAACUCAUGAGAAGCUACGCUUCGAGAAUAUCAAUUUGGAGGAAGAGGAUGAGUUCCUAAAAGCAAAUCAAUGAUGAUCUUCGAAAGACGAGUUCUUCUUAUCUAGCCAAACGAUUAAUCUUGUCUACUUUUGUUCCACAAGUUAAAACUAAGAACACAAGUAACAAAGGCACGAAAGUCUCUUCUUCUAGUAACAAAACCACUAAAGCUACAUCUAAUGAUGUUGUUGUUAGUAGCUCUCUUGAUUCCACUAAUGAUUCUCUUAGACAAGUUACACUUGAGAAGAAAAUGAUGUAUUGAAAGGGAUCAUAGAGAGAGGUGUCUUCAAGAGUCUUGUUGGAAGUAAGCAAUUGGAGGAAAUUGUGCGCAAGCAAGGAGGACAUCGGAAGAAACAAGGUGUUGGCUACUUCAACAUCAGCGGAGGUGAUUGGGAAGAAGGUCCAUAUCCCAUUCCUAAGUUUGUUCCUCAAGAGGAGAAGUAUGAUCCUACUCCUCCCAAAGGAACAAGCUUACAAGAUGGCCUUCUACCACACGACCACAAGGGCAAGGGAAAGCUUCAAGAGGACAUUGACUUAUGUGAAGAGGAACCCCAAGUCAAGGUUAAGUGCAUUCCCAAGGACACUACUAGCACUACCUCAUCUAGUGCUACCACAACUCCAAGGAUUCCCCUCAAGUUGAUGUGGAUCCCCAAGAGGAAGAACUAUAAAGUUCUUGAGGGGUGACUUCGCCAACGAAAUUCACUCUCAUUCAUUUGGCAAGAACUAUAUGCAAUCAACCUCAACCAUAUGCAUUAGUUGAAGGAGUCCCACAUUCCCUCAAAGGUAAGCAAGGGACCAGGUAAUUAAUGUAUCUUUGGACAUCAUCCCAUAUGUAUUUCACUCCAUGUCCGUAGAUAUUCUUGCAUAUGUUCCUUGUGUUUUGGGACUAACCCAUGUAGGUGAGAAGAGUAAGAAACAACAAGGAUUGCGCCCAACUCAAGAUGAUCUUCAUCAACAUUGAGCAUCCACCACUACUUCACCUACUUGAAGUCUUGUACGACAAAACCUAAGGUUAGAUUAUCCCUCUUAGGGGGGAUGUCAUAUCAAGGGGGAGCUUUACUCUAAAUCUUGAGUAUAAGCAUCUCCUCAGGAUAUGAACACAUUAAUGCCUUAUGUAAAAGUGGUAACCCCACUUUUGCUUAAACGAUGAGUAUGACCUAUGGUCAAGUAUUCGUACUUGGCUGCUAAGUAAAUAUACUCAUAUAUAGAUGACUUUUGCAUCGCCAAAGUGCUUGACAUAUGCUAGAAUGUUUGUGCAUGUUCACCAUAUUUUAUCUAUCAUCUUAUGGUGUGAGCAUGUUCGUGUGCAUAUUUUUGCUCAUUCGAGGACAUCCAAUUUUUAUUAUUUGGCUCUUGUUUAUCUUUUGCCAAUUGGAUGGACAAGAAUGCCUAGGACCCUCUUCUAUCUAUCUAUGCUAUCUCAUAUCAAGUUCUAUUCAUGCUUCAUCACAAAACUUGAACAAGCACUUUUCGAUCCCUCUGUGUGAAGGAGCACUCGGAAUUCCAUAUCGUCAAAGGCUGCCUUCAAAAACCUCUUUAUGAAUCUCGGUGUAACUAACCCCACAAUCGCGGUUCCAUCGAAUUCCAAAGUUGAUCUGGUUUUUCCAUCCCGGUACCACCGAAAUCACCAACUCGGUUACAUCGAGUUUCCCUAUCAGCUGACAGGAGAGGAACUCGGUGACACGAUUUUGUAAUCUCGGUGACACCGACAACGACGUGUAUAUAACCUUGCGGACCGGACGUUUUGAAAUUAACUCCACAAACAUUUCAUUCCCAAAGCCUAAGAUCCCGUUGAAGGACCCCUGGUCAUCGCCUUUGUCUCCCUGAGCACCUCCACCAUUGGGAUUCGCCGCCGUCGACUGAUUCUUCACCGCUGUUGCCGUCGUAGUCGGACCACCAUUGAGCUAGGGUAUGGUUAUGAUCUCCUCUUGUGCUCAAUUGAUCCAAUUCAUGCGCAUUAGUAAUAUUUAUCUCAAUCCACCUUGUGCAAACCCUCCUCUCAACCAGAAGUUCUUGUAGAUCAGCGAACGGAAGAUUUUUAGGUUAGCCGUCUGCAAAACACAUCUCAGUGACACCAAAUCAUAAAAUUCGGUCCCACCAAUUAUGAAUAUAGGGUUCGUGAGAAUGAACUCGGUGAGACCGAGAUAUCACUUUCAGUUCCACCGAAGUGAUUGCCAAGUCUUUGAGAAGAAGUUCUUCUGUCUCGGUGACUCCAAAAAUUCAGACUCGGUGCUACCAAAAUUUGUCAUGCAUAAAGCUAAAACUAGGAAUUGCUUUGUUCAAAUUUUGUGAAAACCUUCUGUGUUUUGUGGUGCUCAAUCCUUCCGGUCUUCUAUAUCUAUUUCAAACUGCUGCUUGUCUGCUGGUAUGUUGGUUCCUUGUCUGCUUUGUCUGUGAUGAUAUGAGGAUCUGAGGACAGCCAGAACAACUUCACCGAGGAUAGUGUUGACUUGGAAUCAGGCACAAGUCCUGAGAAGACAGACCCUGUCCCUGCAUCUUAUAGCUCCCAUGGCUUGCCCGAAGACAGCCACUAGGAAGAGAAAUAAGCUUAACUCGGAUGAAGAGGACUCAGAUUUUGUGCUAGCAGAAACUUUAGCUCCUCAGAAACUGAAAGACAAAGCUCCUCUCAAGAAGCUUGUCAGGAAAGAGUAUGCUAAGCCUGCUGAUCUUAGAGCUCCUGAAAGUGCAAGGCAAGGGAUGACACUUUCCCUUGACAAUCCUCCUAAGAAGGCUCGUGUCAGAGCAAGGAAGAGGGUGAUUCAUGUUGUUGGAAGACAUACUUCCAUGCAUGAGAACCCAGAAGAUGCUGCUGGAGAAGAUGAGAUUCCAGCUGAUGCCCCUCCUGCUCUUCCUGAGAAGAAGAAGCUCAUGGCCGAUGCUAUGCCCAAUAAAUCUGCUCCAAAGCCUGCUUCUAAAGCUAAGAAUGUUGUAACUUCCAAAAGGACUACAAAGGAUAUUCCUGCAGCUCCCAAGAACAAAGGUUCCAGAGGAAGAAGAAGAGAAUGCACCUAUUCUCAAAAAGCUCAGACCCAAUCUGCCACUUCACAAUGCUGCUCAUCGAGUAGCUGGAGAUAUGAAGAAGAGGAAAGAUGCAGGGUUGAGGAAAUGGAGAGCUGCAGAUCCAUAUGCCAUAAGGAGAAGAACUGUCGUUGAUCCAAGGUUUGACACCAAGGAACAAAAAGACUUUUACGAGACUGUUUUGUAUGACAAAAUUCCAGCUAUUAGUAACAUGAGAUAUGUUGACUGGGCUUACAUCAAAGCCAAUGAAAAUUUAUUUCUCCGCAUGCAAGAUAAUUUCAAGUCAGCGGACAUUGGAGAUUUUGAUGGAAAAGAGAUGACUCCAUGGAAUGAAAUUGAUAAUGCAAUUCUAUUCAACUAUUCAUUUCUAUGGUGAUGGCUCUAUUGUCUGCAUGACUGAUGGUCACAAGUAUAAAUCAACUAUUGAUGAUUGGGCCACUAUCAUUGGUGCCCCUAAGUAGAAAAAGAGUGACGUUGAUGUAUACUCUGAGCAGAAGAUGAGUCACAACUCCAUGUCCAACAUGUACAAGCCAACUCCUCACAAGUUUAUGGCAACUCACAAGUUUGGCUGAGUGUACUUCUUGCAAGCAGGGAUACUACAACCAAUACCAUUCAGAGACACACCUUGAUGCCUAAAUCACGUGAUGAAAAAAUGAUUAGAGGUCACUCCAUCAACUUGCUGCACUAUUUGGACACUCAUACUAGAUUCAGAGUAAGGGACUUGAUAGUAGAGACUAUGAGAAGGACGACUGCUGAUUAGAAAAAAUCUUGUGGAUACGCCCCAUACAUUCAGAUGCUUAUCUACGCCAAGCUAGGCAAGCAUGCAUAUCUCUUUGAUCGUCCCCAUUUACCCUUUCAUUCGGAAUUUGAAGAUAAUGAAGUGGUGAUGGAUGACAAUCCUAGCUCAGGUGCAGCCAGAAUGGCAGUAGAGGCAGCGGAAGCUAAGGCUUCUAGAAAUGUGCCACCAUCAGUUCCGCAGCUCAGAACUCAAUCUGAGAAAAUGGCUUUUCUAGUUAGCUCUAUCCAUGGUAUGGAGAAGAACAUCUAAGAGAUUCUGCAAAACCAGAAGAGUUUGGAGAGGAUCAUGGAAACAAAGUUCCAUGAUUUGGAUGUCAAAGUGACUGAGAUAUCUGCUAGUGUUGAUCAUCUCAAGCAUGAAUUUGACGGUGUUAAAACACCCAGUUCUACUAAUGAUGAUGAAAAGUCGCCUCCUCACACUACCACUCAGUUCAGCACCAAGCCCCGGUCAGCAGUUGUGCUAGUGUCGGAAGCAAGACCAACUUCAUCCGCUCAGGCAUCAACACCUUCAGCUUCAGCACCAGCUCCAGCUCAUCUAGUUUCCACUCCUCCAACUCGAGGACAUUUAGUAGAAUCCUUUGUGGACGCUCUUCUGUCAACUCCUUCAUCAGUUGUCCAUAGGAUCGAUUAGCUCUAUACUUUUUAAUUUUUUGGUAACUUGUUGGCAAAGGGGGAGAAAUGUAUAGAUCAUAGGGAUUCGAGAGAGAGAGAGCUUUUGACUUUAUUUUCUCUCAUUUGUUUUUUAAACUUUGGCCUUUUGGAUGACAUUAUACUUGUUCCUUUGUUUGAUCAUAUCCUUUGCUUGGUUGAUGCUACAUUAUUAUCUUUUAGCUAUCUAUGUGAUGAUCAUUCAUUUAUCUUUUUGGUGUCAUGUGCAUUACUAUUCAUUCUAAUCAUGUAUGCGCACCUCAAGUUGUAUGUGACAUGGAAGAGUGAUCUAUGAACCUAGUUGAUUGUGCAUUUCCAUCCAAACACAAAUUAUAAAUAAUGCACAAAUUUAGCGUGAGCUCUUGCUUUUCACAUACUUCUCAAAGCAUCGAUGAUAAUCACUGAUUAUAUCUUUUGUCGAAGCUUUGAUAUAUAUGCUGUCAUCAAUUACCAAAAAUGGGGAGACUAAAAUCACAAUUGCUCCCUAUGGUGGUUUGGAUAAUUGAUCACAACAUAUGCAUCAUUGUACAAAUAUGUUUAUCGAAGUAUAUUUCUGAAAAGUUCAAAUGAUGCAUUGGCCAAAGUCUUAUGUGAAGAUGCCCCUUGAUGCAAGAAAGGAAUAAGAUUGGCCCAAACUUCAAGCUAGAAGACUCUUCAUUUUAUAUUUGUUAGAAAUCACUUUUGUGUCCAUAGGAAAGCCAAUACUAUUAAAAGGGGCUGAUGUAUUAAAAUGAACUGGUUUCUCAAGUGCGUAGAGAUAGACACCAAAAAUACUUAGUCAUUUUCUCACGUAACCAUUCUGUGCAAAACCACAUACUCAAAAUCGGUGCCACCAACUUUCUCAUUUCGGCACUACCAAUUUUCAUCUUAGAGAGAACCCUAGCCAAAGCCACCAAAUCGGUGCAACCGAAACCAUGUCGGCGCUACAAAGUUGAGGUUACCAACUUUCUGUUGCCUCGGUACACAAAAUCGGAAUUUCCGAGUUUGAGUAUCGGUGUCACCGAGUUGUUUCAUCUGAUUGUUAGCCACCUUUUCAGUGUCACCGAGUUGUGUAUAUCGGUUCCACCAAGAUUAAAAAGUUGCUGCCUUUAGUGCAAGUCGGUACCACUGAGUUGAUGACUUCGAUGUCAUAGAGUUUGCCACUUUAGGUGUAACAGUUGGAUUUUGGGGACAACCUAUAUAUACCCUUCCCCCACCUCUCAUUCGAGAGAGAAGCACUCAGAACACACACUUCAUUGCCAGAUCCAUUUUUCUGAGAAAGAGAGCCACCUACUCAUGUGUUGAGACCAAGAUAUUCCAAUCCAAUCAUUUGAAACUUGACCUCUAACCUCCCCAAGUUGCUUUCAACCAAAUCAAUCUCUCUUACCCAUGUCAAAUCUGAGAGACAAUGAUUAAGUGUUGAGGAGACUAUCUUUGGAAGCACAAGAGCAAGGAGUUCAUCGUUCUACCACAUCUAUUACCUUUUGGAGGGUGAGGCCUCCUAGAUUGGUUAGGUGUUGUUUGGAAGCCUCCUACUUCGUGUUGUGGAGUUGAACCAAUAUGUUUGUAAGAGCAAGGAGAUCGCCUACUUCGUGAAGAUCUAUCAUGAGUAAGGUUAGUCCUUCGUGGGUGGAAGCCGUGGUGGAAUAGACAAGUCUGCUUCAUCGUGGACGCCUUGUGGGUGGAGCCCUCCAUGGACUCUUCUAGCCGUUACCCUCCGUGAGAUGUACGAUAGCGCUACCUCUCGGAACCAUGCCAAAAAUUGCCGUGUCAACCUCACGCGUUGCAUCUCCCUGCCUUACUCCUUUACUUUACACUUGCAUGUUUUACAUUCCGCUGCUACUCUUAGAACUGCAUGUGUAGGGUGUACUUGACUUGCCAUUAUUGCUAAAGCGGGCCCACACCAAAAAUUGGGAAAAAGGCUAAGUUUUUAUAUUGUCAAGUAGUCUAAUCACUCCCCUCUAGACAUACUUCCUAUCCUACACGUCUGCCUCGCAAUCCUCCGUGUUGUGGGUGUGUACGUUGUGAUGGGCAUGGAUCAUCCCGCCGACCUCUCUAGGCGCGUCGUUGCGGGGGACUGGCGAAGGCCCGAAGCCGGUCAUGGGGACCCGAAGGAGAAGGAGCACGUCAUGGGGCAUGAUCUGUUCGAGCCCUUCAGGCUAUGGACCGAGUGGGCCACCGUAUAGCGGCAAAGGCGUCUCGCUGGACGAGCCCCCACCUUUGGCGCCGAGGGAUGGAGAGGGACGUAGGGCUCCAAGGCCCUCCUGGCGACGGUGACCAGCUCGGUGAUGUGGUCCUCCCAGUCGUGGUACCCCCAUCUGUUGGGCGGUGGUGAAGCAGUUCGCUAACCAUGAGCAGCGCGUCCUGCGUGUUCAGGUCCCUCGUGUGAACGUAGGCUGAGACAGACGCUGCUGAGGACUCAGCUGGGCGACCGUCUCACUGCGUCGGUGGACACACGAAGUCGUGCUUCCCUCGGGCAGCGGGGGCGAAGACGAUGGUGGCCCGGUAACGGCCAUCUGGCGCCGAGCACUUAGGGGGCGCGCAGUGAGCGUCGGCCAUGGGGUUAGUGAAGCUUGCUGGAGGUCGGCCACGCACCCCUACUUGCGCGCCAAAUGUCGAAAUCGGGGAUCCGCACAACCGGAAAAGUUUCGAACUCUCAGGUGCGCUCGCCCUCCUACCCUUUUCUACCUCUCAAAUUCACUACGACUCUCCGGCGGCUCGAUCUACGGAAAGCGAACGGGAACACACAGACUGUUUACCCAGGUUCAGGCCACCUUGAGGUCUAAAACCAUACUCCUUCUUGUCUGGAUUGCUUGAGGUGGAAGACGAGUACAAAGAAGGGUCAUAUUGGGGAUCGGAUCAGUCGCCCCUACUAUCGAGGCCGGGCCUCUCUUUUAUACUGGCCUUGGUCCUCUUCCCCCGUAAACACUCGGCUAGAAGGGUUGCCACAAUGGCCAUUUUGAAAGGGUACGAGACUACGGCCCGCCCUGACAAAGUCGGUCUUCGCGUGCGAAAGCCUUUCUUCAUGUCGUGUUGGUGGGAUCGGGGGUUCCUGCCGAGCCCCCAACCUUGGUCUUCUUGCACCAAUCGAGAAACCUUUGGGAGUUUCUUUGGGAGCCUGCGAGCUCGCCCCACUUCCUUAGCACGGAAGUGGAAAUCCUCCCUCUCUGUGCCUGUUGGCACCGCCCAUGCGCUACCUGCGUAGUAUGCAUCACCCACGUGAAGGCGCAGGGUCACGGGACCCUGCCAGGUUGCCCUCAAAGGGCGUGCAGCACGAGAGCCUCAGGGGUAGCCUCGCACUACUAGGAAAAGGGCUAUAGAUAAUAUAGACACUAAUGGCGCACCAGACAAGUGGUGCGCCACAACUAUAUAGUAGUGACACACCAUGUGCAGGUGCGCCGUUAGUGUGAUGGACACUAAUGGCACACCACACACACACGAUGCGCCACUACUAACAAUUUUUUUCUUCCAAAAGUACUAAUGGCGCACCGGGGCAGAGUGCGUCCCGCACCACUCACCUAGUACGUCACUACUAUAAUUUUUUUUGCAAAAUAGUAAUGGCGCACCAGGUGCUUCAUUAGUAGUUUUGCAAAAAAAAUAUCUCUCUGUGACCCACGACCCCAAACCUAGCAAGCCCUCUCUCAUCCUCAUCCUCUCCUCGUGCGCCCCACCGCAUCGCAAUCGCCACCGCGCCAUGGCCUCCCCCGGCCCGAACCACCACCGCCAGGCAAGGCCGUCGUGGAGCGUCACCACCCCACCCCACCCCACCCCACCCGUCGAGGAAGCACAAGGCUUCAUCGCUGUCGGAGCUGGGCUUCGACGCCGGGGGCGCCUCGUCGCCUCGUUUGGCAAGGUAUCCACUGACCUCCGUUCAGUUGCUCUCCUCAUCCCCUUUCUCACUCAGAUCCCUCUUGCUAGCCCUACCUAUCCGAUUCACUUUGUGAGCNCUGGGCCUCAAAUCCCCGCAGAGCUCCCCUCGUUCCCGUAGUCCGCGACGCCGGCCUCCCCUUCCUCGCAGGGCUCCCCAUCGCGCCGCCAGGACUAGAUCGUGUUCGCUUUCCCCCUGUAGCUGAAAUGAUAGCUCCUACCAUAGGAGGAGAUUUAUCAAACCAGAGUAGUAAUUGUAUGCGCCCAAUCGUAGAUUGAAUGAUUUAUAUGGAGUAUGUAUAGUAGCGAGUUGACCCAGUGCUAUGCUGCGCUUGCUUUGACAUUCUGAAGUACGACCGGCUUUUGUUACUCCAGUAGUACUGCCUGCUUAGAACAUUUCAUAUAUUGGUUUUAUGCACAAGAUUUUGUGCCUUGCGUACCCUAAAACUACCAAGUAUUAGAGUACAUAUCACUAGGUGGCUACACUCUCAGCAAGGCAGAAACCAGUCGAGAUAUACCUGCCAUGGUCCUAGGAUCCGUGCAAUUUUUUAGUUAAUGUGACGCCUGCCACUUUUUCCCGCUUUACUCUACCACUGACAUCGUUUUCCAUCGGCAGUCUAGCAAGAUCGAGAAACUUAUGGCCGAAUCUGCUGUUUCUACCGUGGUUCGUCGGAUCAGUAAUAUUGCCAUCCAGGAGACUUUGUUGCUAGACUGUUUCUGUUUCUAUUUUACUAGAUAGGCGCUACCUCGUCUAUUGAAACGGUGGCAAGACCAUCUCGUUCUCAUGCUGUCUGCCAGGUAUUGCUGCUUCCUUCAAACCAAAAAUGCUUGAUUUGUCAGUAAUAAGAACCAAUAUGACAUGUUUAAAGUCAUGUGCUAACCUUUUAUCUUGAGCACUCAAAAGUUCCAUACAAUGUUUAUAUCUUCUAUUGCUCUAAGUAGUUUGUUAAAUCGUUGAAUAGCUUGUGUUACUAUUGAUCUGGGAUUUUUCAUUGGUUGUCUUAAUUGUCUACAAUAGGGUUACAAGCUAGAUUCCUAUGACUUGCUGAGCUCCAUUCUUUGGGGUUCUCUUCAUGAGGCAUUCUCUAAGCAUUCUAUCUUCACUUUAAGAAUUGCCUUUUAUGUUAUUUGAUUGCUUGACAUGCUUAAAUUCAGUAACUCGAUCCUCUCUGAAUGCUCCUAAGCCUUUCCAAGGUGUUACUGUAGACCUUCUAUCUCAACCAAGAAUUGAAGAAUACAUGACUCACAACCAAUAAUUUAUUUUUCGCCACACCUUUGCUGUCACUUCUUUUGCUUUGUGGUCCUACCAGACAUCAGGACUAUUUACAUAUGUCCUGUAGUUAUUUGAAGAGUUUCG